AGAGCAUGACCAGCCAGAAUGGAACUGAGACACGGUCCAUACUCCUACGGGAGGCAGCAGUAAGGGAUAUUCCACAAUGGGCGAAAGCCUGAUGGAGCGACACCGCGUGGAGGACGACACCUUUCGGGGCGUAAACUCCUUUUCUGAGUGAAUAAGUUCUGAAAUUAACUCAGGAAUAAGUGACGGCUAACUACGUGCCAGCAGCCGCGGUAAUACGUAGGUCGCGAGCGUUAACCGGAAUUAUUGGGCGUAAAGGGUCCGUAGCCGGAAAAGAAAGUCUGAUGUUAAAACACGGUGCUCAACACCGUGAUCGUAUUAGAAACUUCUUAUCUAGAGUUAUUCAGAGGUGCGUGGAAUUUCUUGUGUAGGGGUAAAAUCCGUAGAUACAAGAAGGAACACCAAAAGCGAAGGCAGCGCACUGGGGAUAUACUGACGGUCAGGGACGAAAGCGUGGGGAGCAAAGAGGAUUAGAUACCCUCGUAGUCCACGCCCUAAACGAUGGAUACUCGAUGUUCGGAAGAUUCGACCCUUCUGAGUGUCUAAGCUAACGCGUUAAGUAUCCCGCCUGGGGACUACGGUCGCAAGGACUUAAACUCAAAGGAAUAGACGGGGGCCCACACAAGCGGUGGAGCAUGGGGUUUAAUUCGAUAAUACACGGGGAACCUUACCUGGGCUUGACAUCCCGAGAAUCCUUCAGAGACGAAGGAGUGCCGCAAGGAACUCGGUGACAGGUGCUGCAUGGUUGUCGUCAGCUCGUGCCUUGAGGUGUGCGGUUAAGUCCGUAAACGAGCGCAACCCUUGUCGUAUGUUAUAUUUUUCAUGCGAGACUGCCUGGUACAACCAGGAGGAAGGUAAGGAUGACGUCAAAUCAGCAUGGCCCUUAUGUCCAGGGCUACACCUGUGCUACAAUGGUUGGUACAAAAGGUAGCGAAGUCGCAAGAUGGAGCCAAUCCCAAAAACCAAUCUCAGUUCGGAUUGCAGGCUGAAACUCGCCUGCAUGAAGUUGGAAUCGCUAGUAACCGUAUAUCAGAUAUGAUACGGUGAAUAUGUUCCUGGGCCUUGUACUCACCGCCCGUCAAGUCAUGGAAGAAGGUAAUACCCGACGGGGUUUUAGUCCAGAAGGGACGAAUCACUACGGUAGGAU
RNAcentral lists this ribosomal RNA (1144 nucleotides) under uncultured bacterium. RNAcentral describes it as "bacterial SSU rRNA". It matches the Rfam family "Bacterial small subunit ribosomal RNA", at positions 295 to 1468 of the family's 1533-position model. The record is from RNAcentral.